RNAcentral lists this ribosomal RNA (446 nucleotides) under uncultured bacterium. RNAcentral describes it as "partial 16S ribosomal RNA". It matches the Rfam family "Bacterial small subunit ribosomal RNA", at positions 338 to 795 of the family's 1533-position model. The record is from RNAcentral.
CCUACGGGCGGCAGCAGUCGAGAAUCAUUCACAAUGGGGGAAACCCUGAUGGUGCGACGCCGCGUGGGGGAAUGAAGGUCUUCGGAUUGUAAACCCCUGUCAUGUGGGAGCAAAUUAAAACGAUCGUACCACAAGAGGAAGAGACGGCUAACUCUGUGCCAGCAGCCGCGGUAAUACAGAGGUCUCAAGCGUUGUUCGGAAUCACUGGGCGUAAAGCGUGCGUAGGCUGUUUCGUAAGUCGUGUGUGAAAGGCGCGGGCUCAACCCGCGGACGGCACAUGAUACUGCGAGACUAGAGUAAGGGAGGGGGAACCGGAAUUCUCGGUGUAGCAGUGAAAUGCGUAGAUAUCGAGAGGAACACUCGUGGCGAAGGCGGGUUCCUGGACAUUAACUGACGCUGAGGCACGAAGGCCAGGGGAGCGAAAGGGAUUAGAUACCCCGGUAGUC